GACGAACGCUGGCGGCGUGCCUAACACAUGCAAGUCAACUUGACUGAAGGAGCAAUCUGACAGUAGAGUGGCGCAAGGGUGCGUAACGCGUAAGUAACUUGCCCCAAGGUAAGGAAUAACGUCGAGAAAUCGGCGCUAAUACCUCAUAAUGCAGCGGAUCCGCAUGGAUAUGUUGUUAAAGGUUUACCGCCUUGGGAUAGGCUUGCGUCUGAUUAGCUAGUUGGUGUGGUAACGGCACACCAAGGCUACGAUCAGUAACUGGUCUGAGAGGAUGAUCAGUCACACUGGAACUGAGACACGGUCCAGACUCCUACGGGAGGCAGCAGUGAGGAAUAUUGGGCAAUGCUCGAAAGAGUGACCCAGCAACGCCGCGUGGAGGAUGAAGGUAUUCUAUAUCGUAAACUCCUAGUGAGAGCAGACGAAAGACAGAUUAUUAAUCUGGAUGACUGUAUGCUCAGAGGAAG
Molecule: ribosomal RNA, 464 nt
Filed under: uncultured bacterium
Lineage: Bacteria
Description: bacterial SSU rRNA
Rfam family: Bacterial small subunit ribosomal RNA
Source: RNAcentral